GUGGGGAAUAUUGGACAAUGGGCGGAAGCCUGAUCCAGCAACGCCGCGUGAGGGAUGACGGCCUUCGGGUUGUAAACCUCUUUCGCCUGUGACGAAGCGCAAGUGACGGUAACAGGUAAAGAAGCACCGGCCAACUACGUGCCAGCAGCCGCGGUAAUACGUAGGGUGCGAGCGUUGUCCGGAAUUAUUGGGCGUAAAGGGCUCGUAGGCGGUUUGUCGCGUCGGGAGUGAAAACGCCGUGCUUAACACGGCGCUUGCUUUCGAUACGGGCAGACUAGAGGUAUUCAGGGGAGAACGGAAUUCCUGGUGUAGCGGUGAAAUGCGCAGAUAUCAGGAGGAACACCGGUGGCGAAGGCGGUUCUCUGGGAAUGACCUGACGCUGAGGAGCGAAAGUGUGGGGAGCGAACAGG
This 410-nucleotide ribosomal RNA is filed under the name uncultured Nocardioides sp. RNAcentral describes it as "bacterial SSU rRNA". It matches the Rfam family "Bacterial small subunit ribosomal RNA", at positions 354 to 776 of the family's 1533-position model. The record is from RNAcentral. Lineage: Bacteria; Bacillati; Actinomycetota; Actinomycetes; Propionibacteriales; Nocardioidaceae.